RNAcentral lists this ribosomal RNA (374 nucleotides) under uncultured organism. RNAcentral describes it as "partial 16S ribosomal RNA". It matches the Rfam family "Bacterial small subunit ribosomal RNA", at positions 527 to 896 of the family's 1533-position model. The record is from RNAcentral.
GUAGGUGGCAAGCGUUGUCCGGAAUUAUUGGGCGUAAAGCGCGCGCGGGCGGUUCUUUAAGUCUGAUGUGAAAGCCCACGGCUCAACCGUGGAGGGUCAUUGGAAACUGGAGAACUUGAGUACAGAAGAGGAAAGCGGAAUUCCACGUGUAGCGGUGAAAUGCGUAGAGAUGUGGAGGAACACCAGUGGCGAAGGCGGCUUUCUGGUCUGUAACUGACGCUGAGGCGCGAAAGCGUGGGGGGCAAACAGGAUUAGAUACCCUGGUAGUCCACGCCGUAAACGAUGAGUGCUAAGUGUUAGGGGGUUUCCCGCCCCCCUUAGUGCUGCAGCUAACGCAUUAAGCACUCCGCCUGGGGAGUACGGCCGCAAGGCUG